UAGGGAAUCUUCGGCAAUGGACGAAAGUCUGACCGAGCAACGCCGCGUGAGUGAAGAAGGUUUUCGGAUCGUAAAACUCUGUUGUUAGAGAAGAACAAGGACGUUAGUAACUGAACGUCCCCUGACGGUAUCUAACCAGAAAGCCACGGCUAACUACGUGCCAGCAGCCGCGGUAAUACGUAGGUGGCAAGCGUUGUCCGGAGUUAUUGGGCGUAAAGCGAGCGCAGGCGGUUUCUUAAGUCUGAUGUGAAAGCCCCCGGCUCAACCGGGGAGGGUCAUUAGAAACAGGGAGACUUGAGUGCAGAAGAAGAGAGUGGAAAUCCAUGUGUAGAGGUGAAAUGCGUAGAUAUAUGGAGGAACACCAGUGGCGAAGGCGGCUCUCUGGUCUGUAACUGACGCUGAGGCUCGAAAGCGUGGGGAGCAAACAGG
RNAcentral lists this ribosomal RNA (429 nucleotides) under Gemmatimonadota bacterium. Its description in RNAcentral is "Gemmatimonadetes bacterium partial 16S ribosomal RNA". It matches the Rfam family "Bacterial small subunit ribosomal RNA", at positions 355 to 776 of the family's 1533-position model. Lineage: Bacteria; Pseudomonadati; Gemmatimonadota. The record is from RNAcentral.